RNAcentral lists this ribosomal RNA (453 nucleotides) under uncultured Porphyromonadaceae bacterium. RNAcentral's name for it is "partial 16S ribosomal RNA". It matches the Rfam family "Bacterial small subunit ribosomal RNA", at positions 341 to 792 of the family's 1533-position model. Lineage: Bacteria; Pseudomonadati; Bacteroidota; Bacteroidia; Bacteroidales; Porphyromonadaceae. The record is from RNAcentral.
ACGGAAGGCAGCAGUGAGGAAUAUUGGUCAAUGGGCGGAAGCCUGAACCAGCCAAGUCGCGUGUGGGAGGAAGGUCCUACGGAUUGUAAACCUCUUUAGCCGGGGAGCAAUAAGCGCUAUGUAUAGCGUGAGGAGAGUACCCGGAGAAUAAGGAUCGGCUAACUCCGUGCCAGCAGCCGCGGUAAUACGGAGGAACCGAGCGUUAUCCGGAUUUAUUGGGUUUAAAGGGUGCGCAGGCGGUCGAUUCAGUCAGUGGUCAAGUCACGGUGCUCAACGCCGUUCCGCCAUUGAUACUGGUUGACUUGAUUCCGGUCGAGGCAGGCGGACUUCGUAGUGUAGCGGUGAAAUGCAUAGAAAUUACGAAGCGCUCCGAUUGCGUAGGCAGCUUACCAGGCCGGCAAUGACGCUCAUGCACGAAAGUGCGGGGAUCGAACAGGAUUAGAUACCCUGGUA